AAGGGUGACGAAGCGACGCCGCGUGUGGGAAGAAGGCCUUCGGGUUGUAAACCACUGUCGGGAGUUAGGAAAUGCAGGUGCGUUAAUAGCGCACUUGCUUGACUAAGGCUCCAGAGGAAGCCACGGCUAACUCUGUGCCAGCAGCCGCGGUAAUACAGAGGCGGCAAGCGUUGUUCGGAAUUAUUGGGCGUAAAGAGCACGUAGGCGGCCUUGCAAGUCAGUUGUGAAAGCCUUCCGCUUAACGGAAGAACGGCAUCUGAUACUACAGGGCUUGAGUACGGGAGGGGAGAGUGGAACUUCUGGUGGAGCGGUGAAAUGCGUAGAUAUCAGAAGGAACGCCGGCGGCGAAAGCGACUCUCUGGUCCGAAACUGACGCUGAGUGUGCGAAAGCUAGGGGAGCAAACGGGAUUAGAUACCCCGGUAGUCCUAGCCGUAAACGAUGGGCACUAAGUAGAGGGGUU
Molecule: ribosomal RNA, 461 nt
Filed under: uncultured Planctomycetota bacterium
Lineage: Bacteria; Pseudomonadati; Planctomycetota
Description: bacterial SSU rRNA
Rfam family: Bacterial small subunit ribosomal RNA
Source: RNAcentral